Molecule: non-coding RNA, 262 nt
Organism: Pelobates cultripes (western spadefoot toad)
Lineage: Eukaryota; Metazoa; Chordata; Amphibia; Anura; Pelobatidae
Source: the annotation of a GenBank genome assembly
AUUUUAAAGUGCUACAAAAGUAUUUCAGAGGCGAAUGCUUCCUGUUACAUGACAUUUUGCUGAUGUGAAAUGUGUGCUAUAUUAGUGACACAUUUGGGAACUCCCCUUGUUUGUUGUGAAAAAAAGACAAAAAAAAAAGUAAAAGGCAAAGAUAAUGUGUAGGCGGACAUUAUGUGGUAGUAAGGUGCUUACGGCAAACUAUACGUGACUGCUAUUAAAAACAACCUUUCAACAGGUUGAAUUCGAGAUUAUUUUUUUUCGG